UACGAAGGGUGCAAGCGUUACUCGGAAUUACUGGGCGUAAAGCGUGCGUAGGUGGUGAGUUAAGUCUGUCGUGAAAGCCCCGGGCUCAACCUGGGAAUGGCGAUGGAUACUGGCUCGCUAGAGUGCGGUAGAGGAGAGUGGAAUUCCCGGUGUAGCAGUGAAAUGCGUAGAGAUCGGGAGGAACAUCAGUUGCGAAGGCGGCUCUCUGGACCAACACUGACACUGAGGCACGAAAGCGUGGGGAGCAAACAGG
Molecule: ribosomal RNA, 253 nt
Filed under: uncultured bacterium
Lineage: Bacteria
Description: partial 16S ribosomal RNA
Rfam family: Bacterial small subunit ribosomal RNA
Source: RNAcentral